This is a non-coding RNA of Poecilia reticulata (guppy), 1063 nucleotides long. The record is from RefSeq and is a predicted model, not a curated record. Lineage: Eukaryota; Metazoa; Chordata; Actinopteri; Cyprinodontiformes; Poeciliidae.
GCCGGAAGUGGUUUAUGUCGGCGUCAGCUGAAGCGCUAAAUUAACCUUGUAGCUACAUAUUUCUUGCGUUUUUUAUUAUUGCCCAACUUGCCGUCUUGCUGAGACAUGGCCGUUCUUCUGGACUGACACAGGAAAUCAUUUUCCAGAGAGAAACCCAAAAUGCCUAUCAAGUCUAGCCCUGUAAUGAGGAACGUUUUGACUGAGCGAAGAUCUAUGUGCGCCUUCAUCUUCAGCCACCCACUCCUCUGCAUGUGGCCAAACAGAAGGGCUGCGGUGUUUGUCCACGACCGCAACAGGAGGACGCUCCUCCUUGGACGUCUCACUGGACAGCACCACCGAGUCAGAUGGAUUUUUGAUUUAUGAGCUCAUGUCACUGGGAAUGUUUGAACGAGGAGCCGCUUGGUUUCAUCAAGGCCAAUUCAUUUAUGUCACUUCACUUCGCCUCCAGCCCUUUAAUGUUUUAGGAGUCUUUUCAUUAGAAUGAAGAAUCUGAUUUACAGUGCAAGCACCAGCGUUCCUCUGAGGGAUCAUUUAACACUGGAAGCUGGAGUGCAAGCCCCAAAAAUAUGACCUAGAAGAAAUUUCUGCUGAAAGCUGAUAUCAGGGCAGAUUUACAGCGCUGGCCGCGCUAACGAUGGCCCUUAACGAGCAGCUCAGACUGACUGACGGGUCUACUGAUGGGAAAAUAAGGCAGUAAAUGAGGAAUCGGAUAUUUCCCCUCUUUGCUAUAUCAGUCUGGCCCUAAUGCAGAGGGGUGAACUUUGAAGUACCCUAAUGGUCUUCAUGGUCUUUUAACCCAGCAGCCCUAUAUUAUGGGGUGCCAAUGGAGCCUGGCUGGAGCAGCGUGACCCGUCAGCUUUAACGAGUUCUUCUCAGGGCACAGUAGUUUGCUCUUCUUCCUUAUUCUGGGCGCAUAUUUAUCAUUUAGCUGUGAAACAGAAGAGUUACAAGGUUUGGGGAGAGUCUCUUUAAUAGGCAUUGCCUUCUUUUGAUCAGACAAGAGGAAGAGGUCAGUGUCUGUAACUCGGUUGAACAGAGUUUCUAAAGUAGACAGCGGUGCAUG